AACGAACGCUGGCGGCAUGCCUAACACAUGCAAGUCGAACGAAGUCUUCGGACUUAGUGGCGCACGGGUGCGUAACGCGUGGGAAUCUGCCCUUGGGUGCGGAAUAACUUCUCGAAAGGGAUGCUAAUACCGCAUAAUGUCGUAAGACCAAAGAUUUAUCGCCCAAGGAUGAGCCCGCGUAAGAUUAGCUAGUUGGUGGGGUAAAAAGCCUACCAAGGCGACGAUCUUUAGCUGGUCUGAGAGGAUGAUCAGCCACACUGGGACUGAGACACGGCCCAGACUCCUACGGGAGGCAGCAGUGGGGAAUAUUGGACAAUGGGCGAAAGCCUGAUCCAGCAAUGCCGCGUGAGUGAUGAAGGCCCUAGGGUUGUAAAGCUCUUUUACCCGAGAUGAUAAUGACAGUAUCGGGAGAAUAAGCUCCGGCUAACUCCGUGCCAGCAGCCGCGGUAAU
RNAcentral lists this ribosomal RNA (451 nucleotides) under uncultured bacterium. RNAcentral's name for it is "bacterial SSU rRNA". It matches the Rfam family "Bacterial small subunit ribosomal RNA", at positions 29 to 524 of the family's 1533-position model. The record is from RNAcentral.